UUUAAUGAGCGGGUUUUCCUCUACGUCCCACCAGUUUUUCCUCUUCUCUUGGCAUAAACUUCUCUACUCCUCAUCUCAAAACAGUAUCAUCUCCUCCCUCGUAUCCCACUGCCUGAUCGUCUCCCUCCUCCCGCCGCCUCUACCGGCUAGCUCCGCCGCUGAAGCUCCCAGAUCCUACCUCCUCUCUGAUUUACCUCUCCGUUCGGAUUACAAUAUCUUGUAUUCAUUUCCUGGAAAAUAUCACUGACGUAACCCUAGAUUGUUGACCGGCAUCAGCGAUCUACCCCGUUCCAUUUGCCUUCUUGUCAGGUGGCCCGGUGAUGAUGAAGAGUACAGCCUGGCCGAGGAGUACCUGUCGGAGCCUAAGGGUUGCCUCGACCUUGACUUGGGUUUGCUGUUCGUAUCAGACGAGAUCCGAUCUAUGCGAAAUCCUCCCAGAGCUGGAUUUGUGCACAGAGGUCAGAAUUAUUACUGCGCCAUAGCCUCAGAGGUGUGACAAGCACGUCAGAUUAACAAUGGAGAUAGAUAAUGAACAUAGACAGGUCAAAUUUUGAUGGAAAUCAGUUCAAAAUCUCGUAGAAGGCUCCAAAGAGGGCUGCUACAAUGCGUAUGUGUGGCAGGGCUGAAAGGAACAAGUCAAGGUAAACGCCCUCACUACCAAGAAAACAACACAUGUGCCACGAAAUUUAAAAUUAUGGAAAGAAGUAUGCAAGUUGGUGCUUGCCAACUUGAAGAUAUCAAUGUUGCAGAAUUGUAUAUCUUGUAACAUCUAAUAUAGGCAAG
This is a non-coding RNA of Lolium perenne, 783 nucleotides long. The record is from RefSeq and is a predicted model, not a curated record. NCBI's taxonomy places the organism in Eukaryota, Viridiplantae, Streptophyta, Magnoliopsida, Poales, Poaceae.